Hemibagrus wyckioides is the source of this 901-nucleotide non-coding RNA. The record is from the annotation of a RefSeq genome assembly. NCBI's taxonomy places the organism in Eukaryota, Metazoa, Chordata, Actinopteri, Siluriformes, Bagridae.
AUGGGACUAGGCAUUGUUUUCAAUCUAGCAAUGUUCAUUCAAUAUUCCUGCAGUCAGACACUGAUCGAGUCUGAUCCAGUGAUCAUCAAACCUGAUCAGUCUCAUAAACUGACCUGCACAGCCUCUGGAUUAGACUUUAGUAGCUACUGGAUGGCUUGGAUCAGACAGGCGCCUGGAAAAGGACUGAAAUUUGUUGCAGUUAUCGAGUAUGAUAGUGUUAGAAAGUUUUACUCCAGUGCAGUUCAGGGCCGCUUCACCAUCUCCAGAGACAACAGUAAGAAGCAGGUGUAUCUGCAGAUGAACAGCAUGAGGACAGAAGACACUGCAGUUUAUUACUGCGCCUGAAGAACACACAGGGAUACAGCCGUUUAGACAUCAGUACAAAAACACAUACUUGCUCUAGUCACAUGAGAAGCUCCCAGUUUCUGGACAUUUAUCCUGAUGUAAUAUUUUUUUAUUCUUUGAACAUAUGUAAUAUAUACUGCAUAAAUUCACAAUGUCACAGACAGAGAACUAUGAAAGCUGUUGUUCACAAAGCUAGGAAAUUGAGCUCAGUACCAUAAUCAUUGUGAUUAAUGUUGAUUUCUCAAUUAACUUAUUGGUUAAACCACUAGAUUUACUUUACCACUGAUACUGUAUCUGAGCGCUUUCUUUCUUUUAACCCAUCUUUAAUCAUUUUAAUUGUUGCUCCAUGUGAGACUUUUUUUUAAAGCAAGAAAAUGAUAAUCUUUUUCUCCUGAAUGACUCUUUCUAGAUCUGGAUCAUUUAGAAACAGGUCUUUUGCGCCUCUAGAGGGCAGUCUGUACAAACUCAACCAUCUCAAUAUGUUUCCAUCUGUACAUUUAGGCAAUCUCUCUUUUCACAUUCUGUUAUGACUCCAGCAUCAUGACACUCAGAUUAA